This 454-nucleotide long non-coding RNA is filed under the name Androctonus crassicauda. The record is from RNAcentral. Lineage: Eukaryota; Metazoa; Arthropoda; Arachnida; Scorpiones; Buthidae.
GUUCGGGAGGUGCUUCCAAGAGGACGGUGGUUCUUGGGUUGGGCGGCUGUUUGUGAGCUUCUCUUUCUUCUUUUUGCUUGUGUGGAUCUUGAUUUUGCAUACAUUAAAUUGCAUAAACACCCAACAACAGUUAGAGCCAUAGUAGAGAGAGUCAACGCACCAACAUAUAACCUCAAAAAGAAGUUGGCAGCUUGGGCUAUGAAAUUGAUGGGACAAUCGAACAACUCCACCACCGUCACAACUCAAGCACUAGCUAGGAUAAGAGAGAUCAACUGGGAUGAUGGAGACAACAUAGUAACUUACGACUACAAGAAUCUAUACCCAUCUUUGGAAAUAGAACCAGCAUGCCUAGCACUGUAUAGAUUCCUCCUCACCAACACAGCUGAACUACAAGUCGAACCAACGCUUCUUAGAAACUUGGCGCACCUUUUAACACACAAGUCGUAUUACACCU